Molecule: ribosomal RNA, 711 nt
Filed under: uncultured Lactobacillus sp.
Lineage: Bacteria; Bacillati; Bacillota; Bacilli; Lactobacillales; Lactobacillaceae
Description: bacterial SSU rRNA
Rfam family: Bacterial small subunit ribosomal RNA
Source: RNAcentral
AGAGUUUGAUCCUGGCUCAGGAUGAACGCUGGCGGCGUGCCUAAUACAUGCAAGUCGAACGAGUUUUGGUCGAUGAACGGUGCUUGCACUGAGAUUCGACUUAAAACGAGUGGCGGACGGGUGAGUAACACGUGGGUAACCUGCCCUUAAGUGGGGGAUAACAUUUGGAAACAGAUGCUAAUACCGCAUAAAUCCAAGAACCGCAUGGUUCUUGGCUGAAAGAUGGCGCAAGCUAUCGCUUUUGGAUGGACCCGCGGCGUAUUAGCUAGUUGGUGAGGUAACGGCUCACCAAGGCGAUGAUACGUAGCCGAACUGAGAGGUUGGUCGGCCACAUUGGGACUGAGACACGGCCCAAACUCCUACGGGAGGCAGCAGUAGGGAAUCUUCCACAAUGGACGCAAGUCUGAUGGAGCAACGCCGCGUGAGUGAAGAAGGCUUUCGGGUCGUAAAACUCUGUUGUUGGAGAAGAAUGGUCGGCAGAGUAACUGUUGUCGGCGUGACGGUAUCCAACCAGAAAGCCACGGCUAACUACGUGCCAGCAGCCGCGGUAAUACGUAGGUGGCAAGCGUUAUCCGGAUUUAUUGGGCGUAAAGCGAGCGCAGGCGGUUUUUUAAGUCUGAUGUGAAAGCCCUCGGCUUAACCGAGGAAGCGCAUCGGAAACUGGGAAACUUGAGUGCAGAAGAGGACAGUGGAACUCCAUGUGUAGCGGUG